Molecule: ribosomal RNA, 468 nt
Filed under: uncultured bacterium
Lineage: Bacteria
Description: partial 16S ribosomal RNA
Rfam family: Bacterial small subunit ribosomal RNA
Source: RNAcentral
GACGAACGCUGGCGGCGUGCUUAACACAUGCAAGUCGAACGGAAAGGCUCUGCUUUUGUGGGGUGCUCGAGUGGCGAACGGGUGAGUAACACGUGAGUAACCUGCCCUUGACUUUGGGAUAACUUCAGGAAACUGGGGCUAAUACCGGAUAGGAGCUCCUGCUGCAUGGUGGGGGUUGGAAAGUUUCGGCGGUUGGGGAUGGACUCGCGGCUUAUCAGCUUGUUGGUGGGGUAGUGGCUUACCAAGGCUUUGACGGGUAGCCGGCCUGAGAGGGUGACCGGCGACAUUGGGACUGAGAUACGGCCCAGAAUCGUACGGGAGGCAGCAGUGGGGAAUAUUGCACAAUGGGCGGAAGCCUGAUGCAGCAAAGCCGCGUGCGGGAUGACGGCCUUCGGGUUGUAAACCGCUUUCGCGUGUGACGAAGCGUGAGUGACGGUAAUGGGUAAAGAAGCAACGGCUAACUACGUG